RNAcentral lists this ribosomal RNA (254 nucleotides) under uncultured microorganism. RNAcentral's name for it is "partial 16S ribosomal RNA". It matches the Rfam family "Archaeal small subunit ribosomal RNA", at positions 474 to 727 of the family's 1478-position model. The record is from RNAcentral.
CACCGGCGGCUCGAGUGGUGGCCACUUUUAUUGGGUCUAAAGCGUCCGUAGCCGGCUUGGCAAGUCCCCUGGGAAAUCUGGCGGCUUAACCGUCAGGCGUCCAGAGGAUACUGCCAGGCUUGGGACCGGGAGAGGUGAGAGGUACCUCAGGGGUAGGGGUGAAAUCUUGUGAUCCCUGAGGGACCACCAGUGGCGAAGGCGUCUAACUAGAACGGGUCCGACGGUCAGGGACGAAAGCUGGGGGCACGAACCGG